RNAcentral lists this transfer RNA (67 nucleotides) under Marmota monax (woodchuck). RNAcentral's name for it is "tRNA.Ala". Lineage: Eukaryota; Metazoa; Chordata; Mammalia; Rodentia; Sciuridae. The record is from RNAcentral.
GGUUGUGGCUCAGUGGUAGAGCUCUUGCCUAGCACGUGUGAGGCACUGGGUUCAAUCCUCAGCACCA